AACGCUAGCUACAGGCUUAACACAUGCAAGUCGAGGGGCAGCACAGUGUAGCAAUACAUGGGUGGCGACCGGCGCACGGGUGCGUAACGCGUAUCCAACCUUCCCGUUACUCAGGGAUAGCCUUCCGAAAGGGAGAUUAAUACCUGAUGGUGUUUGAAUUCCGCAUGUUAUUCAAACUAAAGAUUUAUCGGUAACGGAUGGGGAUGCGUGACAUUAGAUAGUAGGCGGGGUAACGGCCCACCUAGUCUACGAUGUCUAGGGGUUCUGAGAGGAAGGUCCCCCACACUGGAACUGAGACACGGUCCAGACUCCUACGGGAGGCAGCAGUGAGGAAUAUUGGUCAAUGGUCGGAAGACUGAACCAGCCAAGUAGCGUGAAGGAUGAAGGUUCUAUGGAUUGUAAACUUCUUUUAUACGGGAAUAAAACCUCCCACGUGUGGGAGCUUGCAUGUACCGUAUGAAUAAGCAUCGGCUAACUCCGUGCCAGCAGCCGCGGUAAUACGGAGGAUGCGAGCGUUAUCCGGAUUUAUUGGGUUUAAAGGGAGCGUAGACGGGAGAUUAAGUCAGUUGUGAAAGGCUGCGGCUCAACCGCAGCACUGCAGUUGAUACUGGUUUCCUUGAGUGCGGUUGAGGUGUAUGGAAUUCGUGGUGUAGCGGUGAAAUGCUUAGAUAUCACGAAGAACUCCGAUUG
RNAcentral lists this ribosomal RNA (690 nucleotides) under uncultured bacterium. Its description in RNAcentral is "bacterial SSU rRNA". It matches the Rfam family "Bacterial small subunit ribosomal RNA", at positions 32 to 715 of the family's 1533-position model. The record is from RNAcentral.